UAAGACGGAGGGUGCGAGCGUUGUCCGGAUUUACUGGGCGUAAAGGGCGCGUAGGCGGUUUGAUCAGUCGGGUGUGAAAGGCGUGGGCUUAUCCUGCGUAAGCAUUCGAGACGGUCGGACUGGAGGGUGGUCGAGGGAGACAGAAUGCCGGGUGUAGUGGUGAAAUGCGUAGAGAUCCGGCGGAAUACCGGUGGCGAAGGCGGUCUUCUGGGCCACAACUGACGCUGAGGCGCGAGAGCGUGGGGAGCGAACCGGAUUAGAUACCCGGGUAGUCCACGCCGUAAACGGUGGGCACCAGGUGUGGGGGGUAUCGACCCCUCCCGCGCCGACGCAAACGCAAUGAGUGCCCCGCCUGGGGAGUACGGCCGCAAGGCUA
Molecule: ribosomal RNA, 376 nt
Filed under: uncultured bacterium
Lineage: Bacteria
Description: bacterial SSU rRNA
Rfam family: Bacterial small subunit ribosomal RNA
Source: RNAcentral